GGAAUUUUUUGUUAGAGAAAUGUCAAAGAAAGUAGAAUUGAACCCUAAAUACAGAUUUGAUUAGAAUCAAUUCAAUUCAAUACAAUUCUUCUUAAUCAUCGUCCUCCGAAAUCAACAAUGGCGAGCCGCAGAUUAAUGGAAGGAUUUUACAGUGUUUUCAUGCGCCGUACCUCCGUCUAUGUUACUUUCCUCAUCGCUGGUACUUUUCUCGCUGAACGGAGUGUUGAUUAUGGAAUCCACAAGCUAUGGGAAAGCAAUAAUGUUGGGAAACGAUAUGAAGACAUUUCAGUGUUGGGACAGAGGCCAGCCGAGUAAUUUUCUAGGUUAUUAUUCUUUUGUGCAACGUGGUUCCGUUACCAUGAAAAUAUGGUCUAUUGACCUUUCAAUAAGUAUGUAGUUAUUUGGAUGUAUCUACCUGUGAGUUUUGAUUUCCAGGAUCAUGCGACUCUGAAAGACUAAAAGUUCUAUUGUUUCGGAGCAUGUAUGGAUUUGUGAAUUGUUUGUCCCAUAAUCAAGGUGUUGUAUUGGCCAGACAUAUUUAUAUAUGGGCAUUUAGCAAAUUAUCUGUC
Molecule: long non-coding RNA, 569 nt
Organism: Daucus carota subsp. sativus
Lineage: Eukaryota; Viridiplantae; Streptophyta; Magnoliopsida; Apiales; Apiaceae
Exons: 3
Source: RefSeq, a predicted model, not a curated record